CAGUAGCCGCGGGAAUACGAGGGGGGCAAGCGUUGUUCGGAAUUAUUGGGCGUAAAGGGUGCGUAGGCGGCUUGACAAGUCUUGUGUGAAAUCUAUGGGCUCAACCCAUAGUCUGCACGGGAAACUGUCGGGCUUGAGAAUGGGAGAGGUGAGUGGAAUUUCCGGUGUAGCGGUGAAAUGCGUAGAUAUCGGAAGGAACACCUGUGGCGAAAGCGGCUCACUGGACCAUAACUGACGCUGAUGCUCGAAAGCUAGGGGAGCAAACAGGAUUAGAUACCCCCGUAGUCCCUGUCUCUUAUAC
Molecule: ribosomal RNA, 301 nt
Filed under: uncultured bacterium
Lineage: Bacteria
Description: partial 16S ribosomal RNA
Rfam family: Bacterial small subunit ribosomal RNA
Source: RNAcentral